Molecule: ribosomal RNA, 253 nt
Filed under: uncultured bacterium
Lineage: Bacteria
Description: partial small subunit ribosomal RNA
Rfam family: Bacterial small subunit ribosomal RNA
Source: RNAcentral
AGGACGAACGCUGGCGGCGUGCUUAACACAUGCAAGUCGAGCGGAAAGGCCCUUCGGGGUACUCGAGCGGCGAACGGGUGAGUAACACGUGAGCAACCUGCCCUUAGCUCCGGGAUAGCUCCGGGAAACCGGAAUUAAUACCGGAUACGACCACGGCCGACAUCUGCUGUGGUGGAAAGGAUUCCGGCUAAGGAUGGGCUCGCGGCCUAUCAGCUAGUUGGUGGAGUAACGGCCCACCAAGGCGACGACGGUA